This 70-nucleotide transfer RNA is filed under the name bovine gut metagenome. It matches the Rfam family "tRNA". Rfam says of the family: Transfer RNA (tRNA) molecules are approximately 80 nucleotides in length. The record is from RNAcentral.
GCCUAUAGCUCAGCGGUUAGAGCUGACGACUCAUAAUCGUCUGAUCGCAGGUUCGAAUCCUGCUGGGCCC